Long non-coding RNA from Strigops habroptila (Kakapo), 569 nucleotides. RefSeq lists it as uncharacterized. The transcript has 2 exons. The record is from RefSeq and is a predicted model, not a curated record. NCBI's taxonomy places the organism in Eukaryota, Metazoa, Chordata, Aves, Psittaciformes, Psittacidae.
UCCUGUGGAAUUGAAACAUCUCAUUACAAAUGCAAAGUUCUUUUUACUGGAUCCAUACGUACUGCAGUGAAAAAGCUCGAAGAAGAGUAACUUCAGAAGUGGAACUGUUCACCGCUUCUAAGACUUAAGACAUGCAGCUGACACAUUAUAUAAAGAAUUUCUAGCCUAAAUAUCAUAUCCUAUGACUUUUCUAAACAUAGUGAUCUGCAGAGGAAGUUUUACUCACUUCACCAUCUUGAAGUAAGAUGCAUAAAAGCUGACAUUUUAAUCCAGUACCUGCAGCUGUCUCUCAUCCUGUUAAUUUUUUUCUUUAAAUGAACAUCUUAAAGUAAGCAGCUAUGGCUGCCAAACAUUACAGAAGUGUAGCCAAGAAUAAUGUUUUAGAAAUGGAGGAAACUUUUUCAUCUCAAGAUGCUGUCCAAUUCACUCUGUAUACUGUAUAGGAUGCUGAGAGGAGGAGAAGGCAGUCCUGGCCAACACUUCAUGCACAGGCACCAAAAAAGGUCAUCCUUCAGAGGCAGAUUCUUUUCAGUUAUGGAAGAGAUGAAACUGAGAACUCCAAAACCCAC